This 234-nucleotide ribosomal RNA is filed under the name Polaromonas jejuensis. RNAcentral describes it as "partial 16S ribosomal RNA". It matches the Rfam family "Bacterial small subunit ribosomal RNA", at positions 517 to 750 of the family's 1533-position model. The record is from RNAcentral. Lineage: Bacteria; Pseudomonadati; Pseudomonadota; Betaproteobacteria; Burkholderiales; Comamonadaceae.
GCGGUAAUACGUAGGGUGCGAGCGUUAAUCGGAAUUACUGGGCGUAAAGCGUGCGCAGGCGGUUAUGUAAGACAGUUGUGAAAUCCCCGGGCUCAACCUGGGAAUUGCAUCUGUGACUGCAUAGCUAGAGUACGGUAGAGGGGGAUGGAAUUCCGCGUGUAGCAGUGAAAUGCGUAGAUAUGCGGAGGAACACCGAUGGCGAAGGCAAUCCCCUGGACCUGUACUGACGCUCAU